CCUUUGAGAGUGAUUCAUUCACAGUACCAGCCAUUGGGACUGAUCCAGUAUCGAUUCCCGGCGUAUCUAGCUUACCUCGGAGUGACAGACCUGCAGGACCAGCCACCGGGGCCGAUACUCUUACGACUCCUGGCAUUCCCCGUGUGCCUGAGGAUGGUGGACUCGCA
Long non-coding RNA from Asparagus officinalis (garden asparagus), 167 nucleotides. RefSeq lists it as uncharacterized. The transcript has 3 exons. The record is from RefSeq and is a predicted model, not a curated record. NCBI's taxonomy places the organism in Eukaryota, Viridiplantae, Streptophyta, Magnoliopsida, Asparagales, Asparagaceae.